RNAcentral lists this ribosomal RNA (253 nucleotides) under uncultured bacterium. Its description in RNAcentral is "partial 16S ribosomal RNA". It matches the Rfam family "Bacterial small subunit ribosomal RNA", at positions 524 to 776 of the family's 1533-position model. The record is from RNAcentral.
UACGUAGGGUCCGAGCGUUGUCCGGAGUUACUGGGCGUAAAGCGCGCGCAGGCGGCGGUGCUGGCCCGGCGUGAAAGCCCCCGGCUCAACCGGGGAGGGUCGUCGGGGACCGCACCGCUUGAGGGCGGUAGGGGCUGGUGGAAUGCCUGGUGUAGUGGUGAAAUGCGUAGAGAUCAGGCGGAACGCCCGUGGCGAAGGCGGCCAGCUGGGCCGUCCCUGACGCUGAGGCGCGAAGGCGUGGGGAGCGAACGGG